AUGUGGUUUAAUUCGAAGCAACGCGAAGAACCGUUACCAGGCCUUGACAUGCAGAGAACUUUCCAGAGAUGGAUUGGUGCCUUCGGGAACUCUGACACAGGUGCUGCAUGGCUGUCGUCAGCUCGUGUCGUGAGAUGUUGGGUUAAGUCCCGUAACGAGCGCAACCCUUGUCCUUAGUUACCAGCACGUUAUGGUGGGCACUCUAAGGAGACUGCCGGUGACAAACCGGAGGAAGGUGGGGAUGACGUCAGGUCAUCAUGGCCCUUACGGCCUGGGCUACACACGUGCUACAAUGGUCGGUACAAAGGGUUGCCAAGCCGCGAGGUGGAGCUAAUCCCAUAAAACCGAUCGUAGUCCGGAUCGCAGUCUGCAACUCGACUGCGUGAAGUCGGAAUCGCUAGUAAUCGUGAAUCAGAAUGUCACGGUGAAUACGUUCCCGGGCCUU
RNAcentral lists this ribosomal RNA (445 nucleotides) under uncultured Pseudomonas sp. RNAcentral describes it as "bacterial SSU rRNA". It matches the Rfam family "Bacterial small subunit ribosomal RNA", at positions 939 to 1382 of the family's 1533-position model. Lineage: Bacteria; Pseudomonadati; Pseudomonadota; Gammaproteobacteria; Pseudomonadales; Pseudomonadaceae. The record is from RNAcentral.